GUGGGGAAUAUUGGACAAUGGGCGAAAGCCUGAUCCAGCCAUGCCGCGUGUGUGAAGAAGGUCUUCGGAUUGUAAAGCACUUUAAGUUGGGAGGAAGGGUAGUAACCUAAUACGUUGCUACUUUGACGUUACCGACAGAAUAAGCACCGGCUAACUUCGUGCCAGCAGCCGCGGUAAUACGAAGGGUGCAAGCGUUAAUCGGAAUUACUGGGCGUAAAGCGCGCGUAGGUGGUUCAGCAAGUUGGAGGUGAAAUCCCCGGGCUCAACCUGGGAACUGCCUCCAAAACUACUGAGCUAGAGUACGGUAGAGGGUAGUGGAAUUUCCUGUGUAGCGGUGAAAUGCGUAGAUAUAGGAAGGAACACCAGUGGCGAAGGCGACUACCUGGACUGAUACUGACACUGAGGUGCGAAAGCGUGGGGAGCAAACAGGAUUAGAAACCCGAGUAGUCC
Molecule: ribosomal RNA, 450 nt
Filed under: uncultured bacterium
Lineage: Bacteria
Description: partial 16S ribosomal RNA
Rfam family: Bacterial small subunit ribosomal RNA
Source: RNAcentral